Molecule: transfer RNA, 71 nt
Filed under: Acanthopagrus pacificus (Pacific sunbream)
Lineage: Eukaryota; Metazoa; Chordata; Actinopteri; Spariformes; Sparidae
Description: tRNA-Pro
Rfam family: tRNA
About the family: Transfer RNA (tRNA) molecules are approximately 80 nucleotides in length. Their secondary structure includes four short double-helical elements and three loops (D, anti-codon, and T loops).
Source: RNAcentral
CAGAGGAUAGUUUAAAUGAAGAAUGUUAGCUUUGGGAGUUAACGGUAAGGGUUGAAAUCCUUUUUCUCUGA